GAUGAACGCUGGCGGCGUGCCUAAUACAUGCAAGUCGAGCGAACGGACGAGAAGCUUGCUUCUCUGAUGUUAGCGGCGGACGGGUGAGUAACACGUGGAUAACCUACCUAUAAGACUGGGAUAACUUCGGGAAACCGGAGCUAAUACCGGAUAAUAUUUUGAACCGCAUGGUUCAAAAGUGAAAGACGGUCUUGCUGUCACUUAUAGAUGGAUCCGCGCUGCAUUAGCUAGUUGGUAAGGUAACGGCUUACCAAGGCAACGAUGCAUAGCCGACCUGAGAGGGUGAUCGGCCACACUGGAACCGAGACACGGUCCAGACUCCUACGGGAGGCAGCAGUAGGGAAUCUUCCGCAAUGGGCGAAAGCCUGACGGAGCAACGCCGCGUGAGUGAUGAAGGUCUUCGGAUCGUAAAACUCUGUUAUUAGGGAAGAACAUAUGUGUAAGUAACUGUGCACAUCUUGACGGUACCUAAUCAGAAAGCCACGGCUAACUACGUGCCAGCAGCCGCGGUAAUACGUAGGUGGCAAGCGUUAUCCGGAAUUAUUGGGCGUAAAGCGCGCGUAGGCGGUUUUUUAAGUCUGAUGUGAAAGCCCACGGCUCAACCGUGGAGGGUCAUUGGAAACUGGAAAACUUGAGUGCAGAAGAGGAAAGUGGAAUUCCAUGUGUAGCGGUGAAAUGCGCAGAGAUAUGGAGGAACACCAGUGGCGAAGGCGACUUUCUGGUCUGUAACUGACGCUGAUGUGCGAAAGCGUGGGGAUCAAACAGGAUUAGAUACCCUGGUAGUCCACGCCGUAAACGAUGAGUGCUAAGUGUUAGGGGGUUUCCGCCCCUUAGUGCUGCAGCUAACGCAUUAAGCACUCCGCCUGGGGAGUACGACCGCAAGGUUGAAACUCAAAGGAAUUGACGGGGACCCGCACAAGCGGUGGAGCAUGUGGUUUAAUUCGAAGCAACGCGAAGAACCUUACCAAAUCUUGACAUCCUUUGACAACUCUAGAGAUAGAGCCUUCCCCUUCGGGGGACAAAGUGACAGGUGGUGCAUGGUUGUCGUCAGCUCGUGUCGUGAGAUGUUGGGUUAAGUCCCGCAACGAGCGCAACCCUUAAGCUUAGUUGCCAUCAUUAAGUUGGGCACUCUAAGUUGACUGCCGGUGACAAACCGGAGGAAGGUGGGGAUGACGUCAAAUCAUCAUGCCCCUUAUGAUUUGGGCUACACACGUGCUACAAUGGACAAUACAAAGGGCAGCGAAACCGCGAGGUCAAGCAAAUCCCAUAAAGUUGUUCUCAGUUCGGAUUGUAGUCUGCAACUCGACUACAUGAAGCUGGAAUCGCUAGUAAUCGUAGAUCAGCAUGCUACGGUGAAUACGUUCCCGGGCCU
This 1372-nucleotide ribosomal RNA is filed under the name uncultured bacterium. Its description in RNAcentral is "bacterial SSU rRNA". It matches the Rfam family "Bacterial small subunit ribosomal RNA", at positions 28 to 1381 of the family's 1533-position model. The record is from RNAcentral.